UUUGGAAGUCUUGUAUUGGGAUUAAGCUGUCUCUUCCUUAUUCUAUUGAAAUUACUAAAUAGGUGAAAAGGCCUAUAAAUAGAGUUUUUAUAAGGAUACAAGAAGACAUUAUAAACUCUUUUUUUUUAAACUACCUGAGGGAUAACAGCAUAAUCCAAUUUUUGGGUUUGUGACCUCGAUGUUGGACUAGGAAACUUAUACUCUAGCACUUGAUAGAUGGCCUAACGGGGUUGGGGCCAA
This 240-nucleotide ribosomal RNA is filed under the name Dolabella auricularia (sea hare). RNAcentral describes it as "partial large subunit ribosomal RNA". Lineage: Eukaryota; Metazoa; Mollusca; Gastropoda; Aplysiida; Aplysiidae. The record is from RNAcentral.